UAUAAUUACAAAUAAUUAAAAUUUGUGAAUAAAUAUCCAUUGAUAAUUAUUGGUUGAUUUUGGUCAUCGAUAAUUAUCUUUCAAUAAAUAUUGCGAUUUGAUUCUUUUUCUUUUUGUUAUUCUUUUUUACAUCAAUUUCUUCAUUUUCAUCUUCAUCUUUAUCUUCCUCUUUUUAUUAUUCCUCCUCUUUUCAUUUAUGUCUUUGUUGGUGUUGUCUCCUACUCUUCUUCUUUAACUUUAUUAUUACUCAUCCUCUUUUUUUUUAUGACUUUAUCAAUGUCGUUGUGAUCUUGCUAUGGUCUUCAUCAUUGUCAUCAUCUUCUCUAGUUUCUUUCUUAUUUUCUUUCUCUUCUUCUUCUUUUUUCGUUUCUUCUCACACGUCUU
Molecule: long non-coding RNA, 384 nt
Filed under: Vigna radiata
Lineage: Eukaryota; Viridiplantae; Streptophyta; Magnoliopsida; Fabales; Fabaceae
Description: long non-coding RNA (VRAD_LNC001621)
Source: RNAcentral